UUUGGCCUACGGGGGGCAGCAGUGAGGAAUAUUGGUCAAUGGGCGGAAGCCUGAACCAGCCAAGUCGCGUGAGGGAAUAAGGCCCUACGGGUCGUAAACCUCUUUUGCCGGGGAGCAAGGGCGGGGACGUGUCCCGGCCCGGAGAGUACCCGGAGAAAAAGCAUCGGCUAACUCCGUGCCAGCAGCCGCGGUAAUACGGAGGAUGCGAGCGUUAUCCGGAUUUAUUGGGUUUAAAGGGUGCGUAGGCGGGCUUUUAAGUCAGGGGUGAAAAUUCGGGGCCCAACCACGUCCGGCCGUUUAA
Molecule: ribosomal RNA, 301 nt
Filed under: uncultured bacterium
Lineage: Bacteria
Description: bacterial SSU rRNA
Rfam family: Bacterial small subunit ribosomal RNA
Source: RNAcentral